GAUGAACGCUGGCGGCGUGCCUAAUACAUGCAAGUCGAGCGAACGGACGAGAAGCUUGCUUCUCUGAUGUUAGCGGCGGGCGGGUGAGUAACACGUGGAUAACCUACCUAUAAGACUGGGAUAACUUCGGGAAACCGGAGCUAAUACCGUAUAAUAUUUUGAACCGCAUGGGUCAAAAGUGAAAGACGGCCUUGCUGUCACGUAUAGAUGGAUCCGCGCUGCAUUAGCUAGUUGGUAAGGUAACGGCUUACCAAGGCAACGAGGCAUAGCCGACCUGAGAGGGUGAUAGGCCACCCUGGAACUGAGACACGGUCCAGAGUCCUACGGGAGGCAGCAGUAGGGAACCUGCCGCAGUGGGCGGAAGCCUGACGGAGCAACGCCGAGUGUGUGAUGGAGGUCUUCGGAUCGUAAAACCCUGUUAUUAGGGAAGAACAGAUGUGUAAGUAAAUGUGCCCUUAUUGACGGUAACUAAUCAGAAAGCAACGGCUAACUACGUG
Molecule: ribosomal RNA, 497 nt
Filed under: uncultured bacterium
Lineage: Bacteria
Description: partial 16S ribosomal RNA
Rfam family: Bacterial small subunit ribosomal RNA
Source: RNAcentral